This 670-nucleotide small RNA is filed under the name Pan troglodytes (chimpanzee). Its description in RNAcentral is "processed transcript". Lineage: Eukaryota; Metazoa; Chordata; Mammalia; Primates; Hominidae. The record is from RNAcentral.
UUUAAUAUGUACAAGAAGUUCAGGAGGGAAGCUUCAUCUGCUCAAGACAGGUGGGGUUCUGUCUCUAAUAGACUGCACGUUGAUUGAGGAGCCAGAUGCAAGCGAUGAUGACUCUAAAGGUUCUGGGCAAGUGUUUGGGCACCUGGAUUUUAAAAUAGUGGUGGAGCCUCCCGACGCUGCCGCCUUCACUGUUGUCUUGUUAGCACCCUCACGCCAGGAGAAAGCUGCCUGGAUGAGUGACAUCAGUCAGCGCUCUAAACAUCCUCUACAAGAGUGCCUUAUGCUGGACUUUUACUUAUAUACCCUCAGGAUGGCUUCAAUGGCAAAUAAAUAGCUAGAAAAGAAGCCAUUUCUUUUCUGCCUGACAAGGAAAUGAAAAUAUGGGAUCUUCCAUUUUUGUGGACUUGCAUCCUUGUGGUGAUUUAUUCAUACGUUCAUUAGCUCUAUGCUAUAUCAAUUAAUAGCAUAUUAAGUCUCUCCCUAUUUGUAACACAUCUCUUACUUUAUGAAACUCUGGAUCAUUCAUUGACUCUUUGAACAUUUAUUGAGGAAUCACCAUGUGCUGUCAGGUAUUGUGCAGGUACCAGGAAUACGACCAUGGUUCUUGCUCUCAGGGAGAAUAGGCAGGCUCAUAGGGAGCAAAAGGAAGUAAACAGCUAAAUGCAAAAAA